Non-coding RNA from Fusarium poae, 118 nucleotides. The record is from Rfam. Lineage: Eukaryota; Fungi; Ascomycota; Sordariomycetes; Hypocreales; Nectriaceae.
GUCGGUGUGGCUCAGUUGGUUAGAGCGUUGGUCUCAUAUAGCGAUUAAUUCGUCAAGUAUGACUCGGUUAAACACCUGGGUAAUCCAAAGGUCGAGAGUUCGAGCCUCUCCACCGACA